RNAcentral lists this ribosomal RNA (253 nucleotides) under uncultured bacterium. RNAcentral describes it as "partial 16S ribosomal RNA". It matches the Rfam family "Bacterial small subunit ribosomal RNA", at positions 524 to 776 of the family's 1533-position model. The record is from RNAcentral.
UACAGAGGGUGCGAGCGUUAAUCGGAAUUACUGGGCGUAAAGCGUGCGUAGACGGUUAUUUAAGUCGGGUGUGAAAGCCCCGGGCUCAACCUGGGAAUUGCAUUCGAGACUGAAUAGCUAGGGUACGGUAGAGGGAAGUGGAAUUUCCGGUGUAGCGGUGAAAUGCGUAGAUAUCAGGAAGAACACCAAUGGCGAAGGCAGCUCUCUGGGACGGUACUGACACUGAGACGCGAAAGCGUGGGGAGCGAACAGG